GGGUUGUGAGGUUAAGCGACUAAGCGUACACGGUGGAUGCCCUGGCAGUCAGAGGCGAUGAAGGACGUGCUAAUCUGCGAUAAGCGUCGGUAAGGUGAUAUGAACCGUUAUAACCGGCGAUUUCCGAAUGGGGAAACCCAGUGUGUUUCGACACACUAUCAUUAACUGAAUCCAUAGGUUAAUGAGGCGAACCGGGGGAACUGAAACAUCUAAGUACCCCGAGGAAAAGAAAUCAACCGAGAUUCCCCCAGUAGCGGCGAGCGAACGGGGAGCAGCCCAGAGCCUGAAUCAGUAUGUGUGUUAGUGGAAGCGUCUGGAAAGGCGCGCGAUACAGGGUGACAGCCCCGUACACAAAAAUGCACAUAUUGUGAGCUCGAUGAGUAGGGCGGGACACGUGGUAUCCUGUCUGAAUAUGGGGGGACCAUCCUCCAAGGCUAAAUACUCCUGACUGACCGAUAGUGAACCAGUACCGUGAGGGAAAGGCGAAAAGAACCCCGGCGAGGGGAGUGAAAAAGAACCUGAAACCGUGUACGUACAAGCAGUGGGAGCACGCUUAGGCGUGUGACUGCGUACCUUUUGUAUAAUGGGUCAGCGACUUAUAUUCUGUAGCAAGGUUAACCGAAUAGGGGAGCCGAAGGGAAACCGAGUCUUAACUGGGCGUUAAGUUGCAGGGUAUAGACCCGAAACCCGGUGAUCUAGCCAUGGGCAGGUUGAAGGUUGGGUAACACUAACUGGAGGACCGAACCGACUAAUGUUGAAAAAUUAGCGGAUGACUUGUGGCUGGGGGUGAAAGGCCAAUCAAACCGGGAGAUAGCUGGUUCUCCCCGAAAGCUAUUUAGGUAGCGCCUCGUGAAUUCAUCUCCGGGGGUAGAGCACUGUUUCGGCAAGGGGGUCAUCCCGACUUACCAACCCGAUGCAAACUGCGAAUACCGGAGAAUGUUAUCACGGGAGACACACGGCGGGUGCUAACGUCCGUCGUGAAGAGGGAAACAACCCAGACCGCCAGCUAAGGUCCCAAAGUCAUGGUUAAGUGGGAAACGAUGUGGGAAGGCCCAGACAGCCAGGAUGUUGGCUUAGAAGCAGCCAUCAUUUAAAGAAAGCGUAAUAGCUCACUGGUCGAGUCGGCCUGCGCGGAAGAUGUAACGGGGCUAAACCAUGCACCGAAGCUGCGGCAGCGACGCUGAUGCGUUGUUGGGUAGGGGAGCGUUCUGUAAGCCUGCGAAGGUGUGCUGUGAGGCAUGCUGGAGGUAUCAGAAGUGCGAAUGCUGACAUAAGUAACGAUAAAGCGGGUGAAAAGCCCGCUCGCCGGAAGACCAAGGGUUCCUGUCCAACGUUAAUCGGGGCAGGGUGAGUCGACCCCUAAGGCGAGGCCGAAAGGCGUAGUCGAUGGGAAACAGGUUAAUAUUCCUGUACUUGGUGUUACUGCGAAGGGGGGACGGAGAAGGCUAUGUUGGCCGGGCGACGGUUGUCCCGGUUUAAGCGUGUAGGCUGGUUUUCCAGGCAAAUCCGGAAAAUCAAGGCUGAGGCGUGAUGACGAGGCACUACGGUGCUGAAGCAACAAAUGCCCUGCUUCCAGGAAAAGCCUCUAAGCAUCAGGUAACAUCAAAUCGUACCCCAAACCGACACAGGUGGUCAGGUAGAGAAUACCAAGGCGCUUGAGAGAACUCGGGUGAAGGAACUAGGCAAAAUGGUGCCGUAACUUCGGGAGAAGGCACGCUGAUAUGUAGGUGAGGUCCCUCGCGGAUGGAGCUGAAAUCAGUCGAAGAUACCAGCUGGCUGCAACUGUUUAUUAAAAACACAGCACUGUGCAAACACGAAAGUGGACGUAUACGGUGUGACGCCUGCCCGGUGCCGGAAGGUUAAUUGAUGGGGUCAGCGCAAGCGAAGCUCUUGAUCGAAGCCCCGGUAAACGGCGGCCGUAACUAUAACGGUCCUAAGGUAGCGAAAUUCCUUGUCGGGUAAGUUCCGACCUGCACGAAUGGCGUAAUGAUGGCCAGGCUGUCUCCACCCGAGACUCAGUGAAAUUGAACUCGCUGUGAAGAUGCAGUGUACCCGCGGCAAGACGGAAAGACCCCGUGAACCUUUACUAUAGCUUGACACUGAACAUUGAGCCUUGAUGUGUAGGAUAGGUGGGAGGCUUAGAAGUGUGGACGCCAGUCUGCAUGGAGCCGACCUUGAAAUACCACCCUUUAAUGUUUGAUGUUCUAACGUUGACCCGUAAUCCGGGUUGCGGACAGUGUCUGGUGGGUAGUUUGACUGGGGCGGUCUCCUCCUAAAGAGUAACGGAGGAGCACGAAGGUUGGCUAAUCCUGGUCGGACAUCAGGAGGUUAGUGCAAUGGCAUAAGCCAGCUUGACUGCGAGCGUGACGGCGCGAGCAGGUGCGAAAGCAGGUCAUAGUGAUCCGGUGGUUCUGAAUGGAAGGGCCAUCGCUCAACGGAUAAAAGGUACUCCGGGGAUAACAGGCUGAUACCGCCCAAGAGUUCAUAUCGACGGCGGUGUUUGGCACCUCGAUGUCGGCUCAUCACAUCCUGGGGCUGAAGUAGGUCCCAAGGGUAUGGCUGUUCGCCAUUUAAAGUGGUACGCGAGCUGGGUUUAGAACGUCGUGAGACAGUUCGGUCCCUAUCUGCCGUGGGCGCUGGAGAACUGAGGGGGGCUGCUCCUAGUACGAGAGGACCGGAGUGGACGCAUCACUGGUGUUCGGGUUGUCAUGCCAAUGGCACUGCCCGGUAGCUAAAUGCGGAAGAGAUAAGUGCUGAAAGCAUCUAAGCACGAAACUUGCCCCGAGAUGAGUUCUCCCUGACCCUUUAAGGGUCCUGAAGGAACGUUGAAGACGACGACGUUGAUAGGCCGGGUGUGUAAGCGCAGCGAUGCGUUGAGCUAACCGGUACUAAUGAACCGUGAGGCUUAACCUUACAACGCCGAAGCUGUU
This 2930-nucleotide ribosomal RNA is filed under the name Escherichia coli. Its description in RNAcentral is "23S ribosomal RNA". It matches the Rfam family "Bacterial large subunit ribosomal RNA". The record is from RNAcentral. Lineage: Bacteria; Pseudomonadati; Pseudomonadota; Gammaproteobacteria; Enterobacterales; Enterobacteriaceae.